CAAAGGGCCAUGGGGCGUGUGCCACCAUCUAAGGUACUGCACUCAUUCUUCUCAAAAAGGAGAGGUCUGAGCCAAAUCUGUGCCCUCACCCGUGCAGUCCUGUUAAAUCAUCUGCACAGAAGGGGCCCCAUGUAAUAUUUGCACCAACCUUCUCAAUGGGGAAGGUCUUGAGGUUUCAUGCUUGAGGGUCUGAGCUUGUAGGUCUGGUGGUGGAAGCUGGAGCAACAUGGUAAAUAUUUGCACUGCACUGAGAUGAUGCCAACAUCUAAGUCUCUGAACUUGACUGGUUGGCCAAGCACAAAACCCCUUGUGGAUAGGUACCGCUAUCCAAUUCUGGGCUUGCACAGCUCUUUGCUUGGUGGAGCCUGGGACUCCUGAAAUACUGAGAAUUGUGUAAAGAUUAAAUAGAAGUGGCACGGUGUGAACACCGUUUGGGAACAGUUAAUGAUGUGCCCAGCCCAGCCACCAAAGCCAUUGCUGAGAACUGGCAAACCCAGAACUUCAUCUUAAUCCCAGCACCUUGUAUCUUGCAGCCACUCCCUUUGAUGAUUUAAAGAGGUGUAUCUAAUUCUUAGCUGGCCUUCACCGAGAAGGAAUGCAGCACGAUCGCAAUUUUGGUGUGGUAUAAUUACCCUGCCUUUCUUGCCCCAUUACCACUGACACUGCUCUCCUCACGCCUGGGUUUAUAGGCUGACUUGUACAACCUCUCUGGUUUGUUUUGCUUUUUUUAAUGACGUUGGUGAGAAGAUGGGAGGUGUUUGCUGGUUUCGUGGAAGCUUCCUUUGGUUUCUGGGUGGUAUGGCACUGAAGUCCUCAUUCUUGUAAGGCUGAAAGAGCUGAAUAGUAUGAUAAAGGAGAAAGUCUGGCAAUAAGUUUGAUUCAGUGUCUGGAGCCAAGCGCAAAAUGGUUCGGAGGAGUUUCUCCUUUCAGAAUUAUUGCAGUGCUCAUAGAGAGCCGUCUUCUUUUCUUAGACCUUGGUUGCUUUGCCACUGCAAAUCAUUGGGCAAAGGUCUAGGAGAGCAGACCCAGCCUCCUGUAAAUUUGCCCUGCACAGGGGCCCAAGGCAGAGGUUUGGUGACGGUAGUGCUGGCGGCGUGUAGGGGUGGGUGGAAGUCAACAUUGGGCUGAAGAACCAAGUCAGAGACGUGGACUUCUCUUGCCAGGUGGCUUCAAAGAACCCCAAGAAGAAGAUUCCCUUGGCACUGUGAACCGAGACUAAAGUGCAAGGUACCACGCACCUGCAGCAAUAUUCACAGUCCUGCCCUCCGACACCCACCCACGGGAAAUAGAGAUGACAGUUAGCAGUACGGACAGUGCAGGGAGGGUGUGUAACAUGCCUGUACGUUUUCACAAGUGAAUGCCGUCGCAUCCUCAUCAAUGGAGGAAGGAACCCAGGACCAGGAGCGGCACCCCCUCUUCCGAAGGCUUUCUGUAGUGUCUGAUGUUUAUACAGAUCAUUUCACAACUUCAAGUUCAAACUUGACAUUUAUUUAAAGUGGCUUCCUUGCGUCUCGUUGCUUCCUGAUUUAUUCUGGUCUGAGUCUUGCCCUAGGGGUUUCAAGACUUACUGUGCACGAGUCUGGUGGGGAACUCAUUUUUCUGGGGCUCUCAGUAACAGAUCGAGUAAACUGGUGUUUAAGGAGAUUGGUCCGAGUGAGUCAUUUGAUCGCACACAACUGCUGCACGCCUGGUGCAGAGCGUGCGUCUAUCAGCAAUAUUUGUCUUGCAGGUUGUUUACUGGAGUCUGCACUGGGAACCAAGGCGCCUUCGAACAACCCUGGUUGAGCUGACACAUCUGCCCAGGCAGGCAACGAGGCCAUUCCUGUGAAGGCAUGGACAGACGGACACUCUACUUUGCAGUGUCCCUGGGUGGCCAAUUGAGUAAGGGUUUCGCUGCCUUUGCACAUCAGCUUCAGGAGCUGUGUUCUCACCAAGGCAUUGUUGCAGUCUGAACUCAUCUUCCCUUUUGGAUCAUGUGAGGGCCCAGAGGCAUUGUUUAUGAGUAGACCUCAAAGACCUAGUAGUACUUCAGUUUUCCAGAUAGGAAAACCAAGGCCCAUUUUCCAAGCAAAAAACUCUGAGCCAGUGGUGUAGAAACUGGGUCUCCUACCUCUCACAUGCCAUCUCUCCAAGCACUGGGAAACUGUUUUCAAAAGAACCAAAGACUGUAAAUUACAGGACCUCAGCACAGAGUUUGCAAGUGAAAGUAAGUUUGCUAAACAGAUUUUUUUUCUCCUCCUGUGUGCUAUGAGUGACACUUCUACUAAGCAGAGUGGGUGCGUUCCCUGUGUGUCUGGUUACUCUUGAAGAGAUGUUUUAACUGGAGGAGAAAGCCCUCACUCGUUAGCAAUGACUUCCAUUCUACUGAUUGGCUACUUAAGGUUUUACAACCCCAAGUGCCUUGCUAAUAUUCUUUUCUCAACACUGAGUCUUUUUGCAGGUUACCGAUAUGUUCCUCAGACUUGCAAGGCUUUACAGACUGUUUUUCAAUACUAGCUAUUUUGAAAAAAUACACAAAUUGUAGAAUCACAGAAUCAUCAUCACAAAUGGUGGUGGAGAAGGGACAACUGCUUGAAGGCCCCUCUUCUUCACACUUUACCAGGAGAAUAUCCUUCUACUGGGCUAUGUACUCAUGGUGCCACAUCUUUUCUGAUUCAUGUACUUUGCAUUCCUUGCUGCCCAGUGGCCUGGUGUCAAGAUGAGUUGGGGAAUACUUCUCUCUCUCCAGCCAAUGUGGGUGCUUUGAAAGGAGACGCUGUCUUGAUCUCUGUUAGGCUGAAGAUGGCACUUCCAUGUCUCCUUUGCCUUUGAUGUGUGUCCUUGUCCCCUUGGCUGAUGCACCAAACCAAAUAUUUUGAGUGACUGCUUCUGCCAGUGUCUCAUAUUGGAGGUGUAGGUGGGUAGAUGGGGUUUGGGAAUUCCACUUCUGGAGCCAGGCACCUUGAAGGGACGUGUGGGAGUUGCUGUUACCACACCUGAGCCCUUUGCCAAUCUGGGGCCUGAGCGUCAAAGGCCCCCGGUUCAAAUUUAUUGUCACCAUUGCUAUACCAAUGCAGAAAUAGCAGCUGUAAGGGGUCAAGUGAAUCAGUCAGACUCAUCUCAAGAUAUCUCAUCUCAUCUGUCCAGCUCAGGCACCAACAGGUCGAUAGUGGAGACUCCCUUCGUAAAGGUAGAGAUUGCUACAAAGUCAAGAAUCUCGGAUACCAACAGAAUGCACAAUAUAACCAGCAACACAGAAGGCUUCUGCCCCGAAGACAUUUUCCUGUAAACAGAUGGCAAGCAGAAAAUGUGCCAGGAAAGCCAGAAAAACUCUGCCUUGACACACUUGCAAUGUGGUUUCCGGGAAAACAGAGCCUUAAAACUGAUAGGCAUUUUCUGUCACCACCUGAAUAAAGCUUAGAACUGUGGGAUAGUUAAGAUCAAGUGCUUUAAUCCAUUGGUUACCUUCUCAGGCUAUUCAUCUAUUUUGGAAAGCUUACUAGUUCAAGACUUCAAAAUCACUGUAUACGAAUGAGGAGCAAAUAUGACAUGCUGUGAUCUUUUGCACACAGAGGAGAUUGAGGUCUUGAUAAGAAGCAGGGGUGGGAAAGGAGAUGUUCGUGUCCUUGCUGCUGUUCCGCAGCAGGUUUUUUGUUUUUCCUUUCUUCAAUCUGCCUCACA
Oxyura jamaicensis (ruddy duck) is the source of this 3660-nucleotide long non-coding RNA. RefSeq lists it as uncharacterized. The record is from RefSeq and is a predicted model, not a curated record. Lineage: Eukaryota; Metazoa; Chordata; Aves; Anseriformes; Anatidae. The transcript has 8 exons.